Molecule: transfer RNA, 71 nt
Filed under: Dipodomys ordii (Ord's kangaroo rat)
Lineage: Eukaryota; Metazoa; Chordata; Mammalia; Rodentia; Heteromyidae
Rfam family: tRNA
About the family: Transfer RNA (tRNA) molecules are approximately 80 nucleotides in length. Their secondary structure includes four short double-helical elements and three loops (D, anti-codon, and T loops).
Source: Rfam by way of RNAcentral
GGCGCUGUAGCUCAAGUGGUAGAGUGCUUGCCUUGCAUGCCUGACGCCCUGGGUUCGAUUCCUCAGCACCA